This is a long non-coding RNA of Octopus sinensis (East Asian common octopus), 156 nucleotides long. RefSeq lists it as uncharacterized. Lineage: Eukaryota; Metazoa; Mollusca; Cephalopoda; Octopoda; Octopodidae. The record is from RefSeq and is a predicted model, not a curated record. The transcript is spliced from 3 exons.
UAGUUAUCAUUCAGCUAGUGUUAGAAACAUAAAUUGUGACUAAGGUUUGGUGGAAGAUUUUAAUUCAAAACUUAUGGAAACAAGACAUUUGUACUCAGUACCAGAGCUGGUUUCAGCCGGGUUGGUAACGAAAGGGUUAAUUCACAUUUUACCCAG